UGUAAACCGCUUCAGGAGGGCGAAGCCACUCGGGUUAAUAGCCCAGAGGGUGACGGUACCUCCAGAAGAAGCCCCGGCUAACUACGUGCCAGCAGCCGCGGUAAUACGUAGGGGGCAAGCGUUGUCCGGAUUUAUUGGGCGUAAAGAGCGUGUAGGCGGUCAGGUAGGUCGGUUGUGAAAACUGGAGGCUCAACCUUCAGAGGUCGACCGAAACCCCCUGGCUAGAGUCCGGGAGAGGAGAGUGGAAUUCCUGGUGUAGCGGUGAAAUGCGCAGAUAUCAGGAAGAACACCCGUGGCGAAAGCGGCUCUCUGGAACGGUACUGACGCUGAGACGCGAAAGCGUGGGGAGCGAACAGGAUUAGAUACCCUGGUAGUCCACGCCGUAAACGAUGGGCGCUAGGUGUGGGAGGUGUCGACUCCUUCCGUGCCGAAGCUAACGCAUUAAGCGCCCCGCCUGGGGAGUACGGCCGCAAGGCUA
This 478-nucleotide ribosomal RNA is filed under the name uncultured Actinomycetes bacterium. RNAcentral's name for it is "bacterial SSU rRNA". It matches the Rfam family "Bacterial small subunit ribosomal RNA", at positions 424 to 896 of the family's 1533-position model. Lineage: Bacteria; Bacillati; Actinomycetota; Actinomycetes. The record is from RNAcentral.